UACGUAGGUGGCAAGCGUUGUCCGGAAUUAUUGGGCGUAAAGCGCGCGCAGGCGGUCCUUUAAGUCUGAUGUGAAAGCCCACGGCUCAACCGUGGAGGGUCAUUGGAAACUGGAGGACUUGAGUACAGAAGAGGAAAGCGGAAUUCCACGUGUAGCGGUGAAAUGCGUAGAGAUGUGGAGGAACACCAGUGGCGAAGGCGGCUUUCUGGUCUGUAACUGACGCUGAGGCGCGAAAGCAUGGGGAGCAAACAGG
RNAcentral lists this ribosomal RNA (253 nucleotides) under uncultured bacterium. RNAcentral describes it as "partial 16S ribosomal RNA". It matches the Rfam family "Bacterial small subunit ribosomal RNA", at positions 524 to 776 of the family's 1533-position model. The record is from RNAcentral.